AACGAACGCUGGCGGCGCGUCUUAAGCAUGCAAGUCGAACGGUAACACGGGGCAACCUGGUGACGAGUGGCGAACGGGUGAGUAACGCGUAGGUGAUCUGCCUUUUGGUUGGGGAUAUACCGUGGAAACACGGGGUAAUACCGAAUAAGUUCCUCUGGUUUGGACUGGGGGAGGAAAGGGGCUACGGCCUCGCCGAAAGAUGAGCCUGCGUUUGAUUAGCUAGUUGGUGAGGUAACUGCUCACCAAGGCGACGAUCAAUAGCCGGCCUGAGAGGGUAGUCGGCCACACUGGGACUGAGAUACGGCCCAGACUCCUACGGGAGGCAGCAGCUAAGAAUCUUCCACAAUGGACGAAAGUCUGAUGGAGCGACGCCGCGUGGGUGAUGAAGGCGGAAACGUUGUAAAGCCCUUUUAUAGGCGAGGAACCAGAUUCGGAGGGAAUGCCGAGUCCUUGACGGUAGCCUGUGAAUAAGCCCCGGCUAAUUACGUGCCAGCAGCCGCGGUAA
This 505-nucleotide ribosomal RNA is filed under the name uncultured bacterium. Its description in RNAcentral is "partial 16S ribosomal RNA". It matches the Rfam family "Bacterial small subunit ribosomal RNA", at positions 29 to 523 of the family's 1533-position model. The record is from RNAcentral.